CAAAUACUCCCUCCGUCCGAAAAUACUUGUCAUCAAAAUGGAUAAAAAGGAUGUGUUUAGAACUAAAAUACGUCUAGAUACACCUUCUUUUGUCCGUUUUAAUGACAAGUAUUUUCGAACGGAGGGGGUAUUUA
This is a non-coding RNA of Triticum aestivum (bread wheat), 134 nucleotides long. The record is from Rfam. Lineage: Eukaryota; Viridiplantae; Streptophyta; Magnoliopsida; Poales; Poaceae.